Molecule: small nuclear RNA, 96 nt
Organism: Cervus hanglu yarkandensis (Yarkand deer)
Lineage: Eukaryota; Metazoa; Chordata; Mammalia; Artiodactyla; Cervidae
Source: Ensembl
GUGCUUUGGCAGCACCUAUACUAAAACUGCAACAAUUACAGAGAUUAUUCUCUGAGCAAGGAUGGCAUGCAAAUUUGUGAAGCUUUCUAUUUUGUA